CAAUACACAAAAGAUAAAACACUCAAAUAGAGACAGAAAAACAGUGUUUCGCAGUUUCCAAAGUGCAGGUUGCACAUUUUAGUUCUUCGCAAAAGAGUUGAAAAAGUAAAUAAAAUCUACGUAUGGCCAUCAAAAAAUCAAAGAAGUUGGUAAAAAAUACGAACUUAUGAUUCCACAAAAAUCACUGUCCGGAGGUAAUUAAGUGCCGAUGUCAAAAUUGUGUUGAGGUCUUCGUUGGGUGUUUUUGCGGUGCGAUUCAUUAAUCCGCGCUUAUUUUCUAAUUGCACUUACAUUGAAGGCUUUGAGUCGUUCAGGGUCGUGCGUUUGUGUGUCGAUCUUGUCAUCGCUUUCAUCAUCGUCAUCGUCUUCGUCUUCUUUGUUACCGCUGGAGCUGGUUUCGUCAUGGGCUGACCCCGUAUCAGCAUUGACUGGACUCUGAAAUGGUCAAGCAUCACAUUAUCACGAACCAAAAGCAGCAACAGUUAAUUAUCCGUUGAGGAAUUUUAUGGCAAAGACACCGGACUGAACUUGACACGAAGUUUAUCAUUCAAUGCGAACAGCUGCAUAUGAGGAAGUAAUCUAAAUUCCAGCAUUGGCGACCAUAACAAAGUGCAACUGGAGGCUUGUUGCAAUGUAAAUGUCUUUUUCGAGGACAUGCCGAUCAGUAAGGGAAAUACGUGUAACGAGAGGCUUCUCUGGUACUUACAGAUUGAUCUCGAGUGGUGGGCGGCGUGGCCUUGCCUUUCGCUAGCCCCAGAGCCGAGUGGUACUGGGCCCACAGGCCGGCCAUUUCCUCGCCUCCCGGAACCGAGGACAGGUCCGGGAUGUCCCCAUUUCUGUUCCCUGCAAGGAGUAUCAUAAGUACUGCUAAAGCGAGUGUGGGGCGAGAUGUAAUGACUGAUGGUUGAGGUAAAGAAAAAAAAUGUUAUUGGAGUGUUGUGUUUGUCGUGUUACCUUGGGCCUGAUUGUGGUAGUUCCACGCCAAGAGCAUCAGCUUGAGCUUGUCGCUGUCUUUCAUAGCCCCGGUUCCUGCACAGCCAAUCAGAUCACGGUUAGCAGGGUUGGCUUACACUUAACUAGACUAACUAAAACUACGCUAGCCCGGACUUGGCCCAAUUGGGUGAACUGGGCCAAGUCCCGGAUGUAGUACCAACCCUGCUACUCAACAGUAAAAGCGGGAAUUUUGCCCUAGAGACACAAGGUAGGCAUGUCGAUUUUGUAUGAGUGUUAGGUCUACACUUCAAACAAAAAUGAUGGUUAAGGCCAAUGAGCGGGUGACUGGCGCAAAACUCACCCGCAAAGUGGUCCUCCUCGUUCGCUUCGGACGACUCCGGCGUGGACAGACUCUCCUGAAAUCAGAGAAUUCGCCUGAAACCUGCGAUCGAACCUUCUAUGCUUGGCAGAGCACGCAGAGGAAGAAAAAAGCACACGUAAUUAUUAUAAGCACUAGUUAGGACUCUGCAAUUAUAAUUUUAAAUUGCGCGAAUAAAUAUCGAGGCAUUACUCUUUAUUAGCGUGCUUGCGAGACGCGAAACGGAUACUUUUUUAAUUAACCAACUUAGCAGCAUGCACUCGAUAAUCGAAUCUUCCACGAUGACCUAAUUCCGCAAGACUUUACUUUCCAUCUCGACCGAGCUUUGUCGACGUGAUUUACUACUCCUCAACGAGGACCUAUUUCGACUCAUUAAGCGUCGCGGACGAGAACAAAGCUCGAUUUGUUCCGACAUCAAGGCGCUUCCAGCUUUACAAAGAAAUUUUCAUUGCAGUUGGAGAGCCCAGGGUGCGUUUUUGACCCGCAUCUUCCAUCUUGUGGGCGCCUAUGUUAAGUUUUUAAUGCAACAAAAAGCAUUCAGAAAAAUUGUUAUUACUUUUGCCACUGUUCGAUUUGCGUUGCACGUUAUACAAAUUAUUGUCUUUACAAGAGACGGAUUUUGUUGCGAGGCGUCCUAAACCCGCUCUAACAUAAUGUGAUAAAAAUUGAAAUUUUUUAAAUUUUACUGCAAAUCUAGAUUCGUUCAAGAAUUUUUGAAUCUAAUGUAAUUGCUGAAUCACUAUUUACAAAAUUCAAGUAGAGCAUUAAGCCAUUCAACCUCAAUAAAUAGUACUGUAGAGGAAGUGCUUGGAAUACUGCAGCAAUAAACAUAACGUCAAUAAUAUUCGAAAUCAGUAGACUUAAAACAGGCUGCCGUCUUUACAUUUCUUUGAUAUCUACACGGGAACAACACUACGUAUAAUAUACAAAAUAUUCAUUGUAAUUGUUUAAACAAUUAAGUGAUCUUAUUGGUUUA
This is a long non-coding RNA of Tribolium castaneum (red flour beetle), 2288 nucleotides long. RefSeq lists it as uncharacterized. NCBI's taxonomy places the organism in Eukaryota, Metazoa, Arthropoda, Insecta, Coleoptera, Tenebrionidae. The transcript is spliced from 3 exons. The record is from RefSeq and is a predicted model, not a curated record.